UUAGUUGUAAAAUCUUUAUUUCAGAAUGACUGUAGGGUGGAAUUUCAUAGGCAUACAACUAAUUUAUAGCUCUAAAUCACACUAACACUGAAUUAAAAACACUUUAUCUUGUAUAAAAAUCUGGCCUGAGAAAUUUUCAUUUGAAUUUUAAUCUACUUCUGUUUCACAUUAUAAAAAAGAAUAUAUGUAAAAACACCAACACAAUUGGGGGAAACAAUAGCUUAUACAUCAAGAGAAAUGAUUUCUAGCUGUAUGUCACUUAUCUUGAGAUCACAGAUCUGACAGUUGCAUUUAAAGAUCAGGAAAUAAGCCAGAGAAAGGUACGUGAACCACUAAAAUAAUGUCACAAAUGAAUGUAGCCUAGUUCAUUCAUUUUAAUGCUAGAAAGGCCUCUCAAAGUCUCAUUCAGAUGCUGUUUACUGUUACUUGCUAUAGAGUGUACUAUUACAUGAUUUCCCAACCCCCUGGAAAAUUAGAGGAAAUCUCCUACAGGCAGGCCCAGAAAUGACAGGUAACAGUGAGGGAAAAAAAAAAUCUCUAAACCCCAUUUAGGAAAUCAAAGAGCAAACACAUUUUGGGGGCUAUUCAGCAUAGGAGAUUCAACUAACCUAAGUAGGACCUGAAAGAAUUAAAAACACAAAUGAUGAUCCUGAAGAGAUUUAAUUAUCUUCAGUAGAUUCUGUUUACAAAAAGCAAGGAAAUGUAUAUUAAAUUGAGAACUAAUUCCAUGUUAAUGGUUGAAAUAAAAAAGUACGCAAAUUAAAAUCUUGAAUUACCUUUACCAUGCACCCUGCAAUGUCUGACAAAUAGAAAAUUAUUACAUAUAUACUGCUUCUAAAAUACACAAAAUAAUUCAUAUAAAAAGAAUACAGCACCUUUUUAACCCAUAUAUGAUUUAAAUCAUAACACCUUUUCUGGUGAAAGAAUCUCAAUCAUGUAAGGAUAAGUUAAGUCAGCUCCUCUCUGCACAAGAACUUUAUAUUGUGUCUUCAGCAAUCAACUGUGUUGAUCAUUGAGCCCUAAUGACUGUGAAACCUUCUUAAAUAACAGGAGACAUAGAGACAAAAAAUAUCUCCGUCAAAUCAGUGUCUCUCAAAAUGUGGUCUGUGAAACAGAACAACCAAAUCUCCUGGAGAACUGGUUUCAAAAUGCAGAUCCUGUAUCCCAAGUGAAACUACAUGAGUCAGAAUUCCAGGGGAAGGACAUAAGGACCUGCAUUUUUGUACCCCUCCCUAAGGGUGCCUGGUACACAUGGCAGUCUGAGUCACACAGGACACCUUCACUCUGAUGUGCAGCUUCAGCAACCCAGUCAGGAGGAGAAUGGCCAGGUCUAUGACUUAACCCUCCCUACUCUUGUCCCUAGUGUGCCCAGUAACACUCCUCUCGCUUUGACAUUUCUUAUGCUACACUGCAGAUAAUAAAGUUAAAUAUGAGCAUCUAUAAAAUACAUAUAAUUUUUUAAAAAUCUAAUAUGCCCUAAUUAAUUUUUAAAAGUCUGUAAGAUUUCUAAACCACAUAUGUGAAGCUGGACUCAAU
Heterocephalus glaber (naked mole-rat) is the source of this 1536-nucleotide long non-coding RNA. The record is from Ensembl. NCBI's taxonomy places the organism in Eukaryota, Metazoa, Chordata, Mammalia, Rodentia, Bathyergidae.